Molecule: non-coding RNA, 826 nt
Organism: Lolium perenne
Lineage: Eukaryota; Viridiplantae; Streptophyta; Magnoliopsida; Poales; Poaceae
Source: RefSeq, a predicted model, not a curated record
UCCAUAUAAUGCCAGUUUUCUUUCCGAAAAAACAACAAAAUCUCUAGAACCGUUCUCGGUUGAUUGUUGCAUCUUCUUCAGGUGAUCACAACAUGCCAUCUGCAGCAGCGCCUGCCGACUUGCAGACAUCCCAUCGCCUCAAGCAUCAGGCCGUCUUGCUGGCAUCCCAUCGACACAAACAUGACUGUACUCACCCAGGUUUUCAUACAAAAUCUAUCAUGUAACAGUACGAAAGGAAUAAGCAUCUCCAUCCAGGUAUUCCUAACUAUCUAUUUGAUGUUUCAGUUCAAUGGUGAAAUCUGCAAUGACAUGCAAAGCUUAGCGUGAGAUUCAAUCUACCAUUAGAGGAAAUGAAGUAACAAUCAAGGCAAGAGUAGCCAGACUAUGGGAUUCAAUAUUCAUUAGUAACGGUGAAUUAGUUUGUCUUCAUAUGAUCCUUAUUGAUCAAGAGGGGAACAUGAUGCAUGGAGUUAUCAGUAAGGUUUACACUGCGAAGUUCAAACCAUUAAUUCUAUAAGGCAAUGUGUAUACCAUUACAAACGAGAUCGAAGAUAAAGAAGACAUCCCAAAGCAUUGUUUCAACUUUUCAAGCAUAGAGGUGCUUUCUACAAGAAUGUUAUAGGAGUUGCAACACAUAUAAGACCAACUGAAGAAAGUAAAACAUCUUUUGGAAUCUCCAAAAUCCGUGAUAUUCUACUUCUGGUCGAGGAUCAAGAAGUCAUUAGAUUAUGGGAUGCUAAAUCUGAACUAAUUGAUACCAAGUCUACAGGCGAUGUCAUUAUAUUACAUCUACAACAGUCAAAAAAUAUGGAAGUAUGUCUUCUCU